AGGGACCGUUCAGCUGCUCAAAG
This 23-nucleotide non-coding RNA is filed under the name Cricetulus griseus (Chinese hamster). Lineage: Eukaryota; Metazoa; Chordata; Mammalia; Rodentia; Cricetidae. The record is from RNAcentral.